UACGGAGGGUGCAAGCGUUAUCCGGAUUUACUGGGUUUAAAGGGUGCGUAGGCGGCGAAAUAAGUCAGUAGUGAAAGGUUUUAGCUUAACUGAAAAACUGCUAUUGAUACUGUAUCGCUAGAAUCAGGCUGAGGUGGGCGGAAUGUGACAUGUAGCGGUGAAAUGCAUAGAUAUGUCAUAGAACACCAAUUGCGAAGGCAGCUCACUAGACCUUGAUUGACGCUGAGGCACGAAAGCGUGGGGAGCAAACAGG
RNAcentral lists this ribosomal RNA (253 nucleotides) under uncultured bacterium. RNAcentral describes it as "partial 16S ribosomal RNA". It matches the Rfam family "Bacterial small subunit ribosomal RNA", at positions 524 to 776 of the family's 1533-position model. The record is from RNAcentral.